AUGCAUUUUCCUCCGAAACGAUCCAAGAAAAAGGAUGCUGAGGAUUUUGAGCGCUUUGCUGAAAUGAUUAGGCCCAUCUUUUUGCGUAUGCGAUUAACUGAUGUGCUCAAAACAAAUCCUUAUGCUAAAUAUAUGAAGGAUAUCAUUACUAAUAAAAGAAAGAUACCGGAAGCUGAGAUUUCCACCAUGCUUGCUAAUUGUACUUUUAAGGGUGGAAUACCAAAGAAACUUGGAGACCCCGGAGUACCUACUAUACCGUUCUCCAUUAAAAGAAAUUAUAUUAAAACUGCUUUAUGUGAUCUUGGAGCCGGUGUUAGUGUUAUGCCUCUCUCUCUUUAUAUCGUAGACUUGACUUGA
Molecule: ribosomal RNA, 357 nt
Filed under: Triticum aestivum (bread wheat)
Lineage: Eukaryota; Viridiplantae; Streptophyta; Magnoliopsida; Poales; Poaceae
Description: partial small subunit ribosomal RNA
Source: RNAcentral